GACGAACGCUGGCGGCGUGCCUAAUACAUGCAAGUCGAGCGAAUCUUUAAGGGGCUUGCCCCUUGAGAUUAGCGGCGGACGGGUGAGUAACACGUGGGCAACCUGCCUGUAAGACCGGGAUAACUUCGGGAAACCGGAGCUAAUACCGGAUCAUCCUUUCCUUCGCAUGAAGGAAAGCUGAAAGACGGCGUAAGCUGUCACUUACAGAUGGGCCCGCGGCGCAUUAGCUAGUUGGUGAGGUAACGGCUCACCAAGGCGACGAUGCGUAGCCGACCUGAGAGGGUGAUCGGCCACACUGGGACUGAGACACGGCCCAGACUCCUACGGGAGGCAGCAGUAGGGAAUCUUCCACAAUGGACGAAAGUCUGAUGGAGCAACGCCGCGUGAGCGAUGAAGGCCUUCGGGUCGUAAAGCUCUGUUGUUAGGGAAGAACAAGUACCGGAGUAACUGC
This 451-nucleotide ribosomal RNA is filed under the name Neobacillus fumarioli. RNAcentral describes it as "bacterial SSU rRNA". It matches the Rfam family "Bacterial small subunit ribosomal RNA", at positions 28 to 467 of the family's 1533-position model. The record is from RNAcentral. Lineage: Bacteria; Bacillati; Bacillota; Bacilli; Caryophanales; Bacillaceae.